GGGGGGAGUAACAUCCGGAAACGGGUGCUAAUACCGCAUAGUUUUCUUGGUCGCAUGAUCGGGAAAGGAAAGACGGCCUUUGUGCUGUCGCUUAUGGAUGGACCCGCGGCGUAUUAGUUAGUUGGCGAGGUAACGGCUCACCAAGACGAUGAUACGUAGCCGACCUGAGAGGGUGAUCGGCCACAUUGGGACUGAGACACGGCCCAAACUCCUACGGGAGGCAGCAGUAGGGAAUCUUCCGCAAUGGACGAAAGUCUGACGGAGCAACGCCGCGUGAGUGAAAAGAAGGUUUUCGGAUCGUAAAACUCUGUUGUCAGAGAAGAACAAGUUGGAGAGUAACUGCUCCAGCCUUGACGGUAUCUGACCAGAAAGCCACGGCUAACUACGUGCCAGCCGCCGC
This 400-nucleotide ribosomal RNA is filed under the name uncultured bacterium. Its description in RNAcentral is "bacterial SSU rRNA". It matches the Rfam family "Bacterial small subunit ribosomal RNA", at positions 136 to 518 of the family's 1533-position model. The record is from RNAcentral.